Molecule: small nucleolar RNA, 195 nt
Organism: Silurus meridionalis
Lineage: Eukaryota; Metazoa; Chordata; Actinopteri; Siluriformes; Siluridae
Product: small nucleolar RNA SNORA81
Exons: 1
Source: RefSeq, a predicted model, not a curated record
CCCUUCUUUACCAAAAGCGCCAUGCUAAAAUCAGCAGGCCCGAGCUGUUUCACAGUUUGGUCUUGCUGGUCAUGCUAGUAUGGUACGUCUCGGAGAAGGGAGAGCAAAAUCCCAGCGCAGCGUCGGAAAUGAGAUCAGGAGGGACCUCUUUCUUAAUGUCCUGUGUUCUGUGUCUCGAGAUUCUGCGCUACAUUU